Molecule: ribosomal RNA, 156 nt
Filed under: uncultured bacterium
Lineage: Bacteria
Description: partial 16S ribosomal RNA
Rfam family: Bacterial small subunit ribosomal RNA
Source: RNAcentral
GGGCGCAGCCUGAUCAGCCAUGCCGCGUGAGUGAAGAAGGCCUUCGGGUUGUAAAGCUCUUUCGGCCGGGAAGAAAUCGUAUCAGCUAAUACCUGGUGCGGAUGACGGUACCGGCAUAAGAAGCACCGGCUAACUACGUGCCAGCAGCCGCGGUAA